This 521-nucleotide ribosomal RNA is filed under the name unidentified oral bacterium RP55-8. RNAcentral's name for it is "bacterial SSU rRNA". It matches the Rfam family "Bacterial small subunit ribosomal RNA", at positions 8 to 521 of the family's 1533-position model. RNAcentral also lists the same sequence under 1 other name. The record is from RNAcentral.
AGAGUUUGAUCCUGGCUCAGGAUGAACGCUAGCGGUAGGCUUAACACAUGCAAGUCGAGGGGCAGCAAUUUGUAGCAAUACGAAGUUGGCGGCCGGCGCACGGGUGAGUAACGCGUAUGCAACCUACCCGCAACAGAAGGAUAAUCCGGCGAAAGUCGGUCUAAUACUUCAUAAUACAGGGACACCGCAUGGUGAUAUUUGUUAAAGAUUAAUUGGUUGCGGAUGGGCAUGCGUGCCAUUAGGUAGUUGGUGAGGUAACGGCUCACCAAGCCGACGAUGGUUAGGGGUUCUGAGAGGAAAAUCCCCCACACUGGUACUGAGACACGGACCAGACUCCUACGGGAGGCAGCAGUGAGGAAUAUUGGUCAAUGGGCGAGAGCCUGAACCAGCCAAGUCGCGUGAAGGAAGACGGCCCUAUGGGUUGUAAACUUCUUUUGCGGGGGAAUAAAGAUAUCCACGUGUGGAUAGUUGUAUGUACCCUGCGAAUAAGCAUCGGCUAACUCCGUGCCAGCAGCCGCGGU